Amphibalanus amphitrite is the source of this 431-nucleotide long non-coding RNA. RefSeq lists it as uncharacterized. The transcript has 2 exons. The record is from RefSeq and is a predicted model, not a curated record. Lineage: Eukaryota; Metazoa; Arthropoda; Thecostraca; Balanomorpha; Balanidae.
CAUUAUAAGAUAAAUAAGCCUAAGGACGUAAAGUUGAUAUUUUUUACUGUAAGAGCGGCAGUGACAGUGACAGUGACAGCAGUGACAGUGACAGUGAUGAUUGCAAUUGUCGGCAUCUGGCCGCGUUGCGAACGACGGCCCAGAUCGGCGGAUGUCACCGCCCGCGGCUAUCAGAGGUCAUCGCCGGGGUCAAUCUGUUCGGCGGGCCGGUCUAGCUGCCAGGGGCCGAUUGCCGCCGGCGCCGCCCCGUCCGCCACCCGGCGAGGCAGCACUCAUCAAUCGAAUCCGGCCCGAGGCACCCCCCCCCCCUUCCCGAGCUACGUGGCUGGUCGACUUUCAUCUGAAUGCCCCCUCACUUACGAAGAACACUUUUGUGCUCAUGGUAUGUUUUGUCUAUGAAUAUCUCAAUAAAAUACAAAGUACGGCUCCGA